Molecule: long non-coding RNA, 913 nt
Organism: Acanthopagrus latus (yellowfin seabream)
Lineage: Eukaryota; Metazoa; Chordata; Actinopteri; Spariformes; Sparidae
Exons: 3
Source: RefSeq, a predicted model, not a curated record
CCGGGACCUCGACACACAGACAGCUGAUGGGAGAGGAUGUGUCGACAAAUCUCUGCUUUAUUUAUCAGCCUCAACUGGUUGUUUGUUCGGUGUGAAGCCGAGUCUCCCACCGUGAUCAGACACAUCGUGACCUCUCCCACCAUCAACCAUCCAGAAAACAGAUCAGAAAGGGAAUGAGUCCGCCAUGUUCUACGGGAGCCCUGAAUGGACAAACCAAACACCGGCUCCAGAAGAGGAGCUUUCAUACUUUCCUCUCGGUGCCGGCGGCCUCCGUUUUUGGUUCAUGUUUGGGUGUAAAAACACACAGUUCUGGUCACGUCCGUUCUGAUCUUACGGAGGGGGAAUAUUGAGUUGGACCUGAGCUGGCCUGCAGGUCGGAGGGCACGGAGAGGAGGGAGGCGACGACGUGGUGAACGUGAUCCUCCGUCUCCGUCGCGUCUACGGAGACGUUCCAUGAUGUCAGCAAAGGAGGUGCCGUUACACAACCAGGAGACAGCUGAGGGAAGGACGAGGACAGAGAGCAGACACAGUUAUAUUUCACAUAAUAUGUCAAACUGAAAGUGUGAAAUUUAAAUAUUUAGUAGCAAAAUGAUACUUCAUGUAAAUAUAUGGAAGUAAAAUAAUAACAAAUGUACAAAAAUAGCAUUUGUUGCUUUUCUUUGUGUAAUUCUUUCACAAUGAAAGAACUAUUCUUGGAUUUAUGCACGUUUUUGUUGUUUUUCUUUUAUUUCAUACUUGCUUUGGCAAUGUAAAUGUAAUUAAACAUUAAAAGUAAGAGUACUCGCUGUUGUAAAAUGUCAAAUGACUGUCAAAAUAUUCAUUUUGUCUGAACUGUUUUGGUAUAAUUAAUUGACUGAUUGUUACAUCUGUACUUCAGAGUAUUUAAUCUCUAAGAAAACUUAAUAUUUUAUAU